GUGAACUCUUAUUAUACAUUGUGACAGAUCAACAGUAAACUUUGAGGAACCAAAUCAAUCUAGCCAAGGAAUUCACAGAGUUAAUGACUGUUUGUAUAUAUCAAUUAAUUUUUGGACUAAGGUAAAACUUUGGAUCUCUGAAAAACCUAGUAAUAAUGUCUGCCUUGUCAGCUGAAAGAUCUGUGUUCUCCAGGAUAUACUCUUUUGAUGCCUUAGCAAUUGCUUCAAUGGAACCAAUAGCUUGAUUGAGCUGAAAU
RNAcentral lists this unclassified non-coding RNA (257 nucleotides) under Hevea brasiliensis (rubber tree). Lineage: Eukaryota; Viridiplantae; Streptophyta; Magnoliopsida; Malpighiales; Euphorbiaceae. The record is from RNAcentral.